This is a long non-coding RNA of Pseudopipra pipra, 2333 nucleotides long. RefSeq lists it as uncharacterized. The record is from RefSeq and is a predicted model, not a curated record. Lineage: Eukaryota; Metazoa; Chordata; Aves; Passeriformes; Pipridae. The transcript is spliced from 3 exons.
GCUCCCACCACCUCCUGAUCCAGCGCAGGCAGAGGGACAAGGCACUUUUUGGAAGCUUGGUUUCUUCAAAGAGAGAGAAUUCAGCUCUUUGAUCCCACUUUUCCCUGCUAAAGAAAGGCUGUGGCUUCUGAAUUCAAGACGUGAACAAAGUCUGCAGGAGUCCUGAGAACUCAAGGAGAGAAAAGGUCACCACAAACCUGAAAGAACUGGAGCUGUUUCUCUAAACUCCAGAAGAAGGGGUGUUUCAGCACACAGCUGGCAGACGGCCGUUUCUGAGGGUCCAUGUUUAUCAUCUGCUCGAUUAAAUCACGAGCAACUAUGUCUUCUGCAAGGAAAAGGGUGCAGGGAAAUUUAUGGGCCUCCAGGCUGUAGGCUCCCAGCAGGAUGUUGGCUUGCCGCUGCAGGGACUUGCCAAAGGGGUGGCCACCUUCUGACACCACGUAAUAGAAGACACAGCCAGCUGAGAAGAUGUCCACGGUGUAGGUCUGCAAAGAAACAACCUUUAAGAGCAAGGACAUAUUUUUCCCCCUGAAGACUCUGAUCAUCACAGGGUGGUUAUUUUCCAUCUUGGAGCAGAAGGAAAUUUCCAGAAUGGCACACUGAGCUGCAACGGAGCCUGAAGGCCCAGGCACCAAGUCCUGUGCAUUGCAGGGUCUGGGCUGCUCCUGGGGAAGGGGGAGGACUUACAGGGUUCUCUUUGCAGUCCUCACUCAGCAUCUCUGGAGCGAUCCAGCCCUCGGUGCCCGGCACGCCCGAGCGGCGGCUGAAGCUGUGCCGACCCACCGCCAGCUUCUUGCACAGCCCGAAGUCUGAAAUCAUGGCCUUGACCCUCCCGUGGGCAUUGGGCAUCGAGAUCAGGAUGUUGUGGGGCUUCAGGUCUCUGUGGACUGUUACAAACACCCAUUUACCACUCAAGCACUCCCAAUAUUUGCAUCUCUUUCAGUGAACCUUUCCUAGGGCUGAACUUUGGCUUGUUAAACCGAAGUGCUGACUUCAAAGGAUUGUCAUCACUUUUUUAUUCCAUCACCACUAGUCCUCAUAUUCUAUAUGACUUCUAUCCAAGAAAUGCAGCCCCCUGCACUAACAGUAAGGACUAGCUUCAGUACUCCAGGGCAGCAGAAUGUUACAGGGACAAGGCUGGCAUCAAAUCACAGAAUCACAGAAUGGUUUGGGUUCCAAGGGACCUUUAAAGAGCAUCUCAUUCCAACCCCCCUGCCACGGGCAGGGCCACCUUCCACUAGGCCAGGUGGGUAGACCAGAACCAGAGCAGUUUCUCUUCUUUUUCCAGUGCAGAGAACGUCCCCCUCAUGCAGCCCUGCCAGGAGAGGCUCUCACCGAUGCUCAGGGAGUGCAGGUACGCCAGCCCAGACGUCGUCUGCUGCAGGACAGUGAUGGGCUGUAAGCCAUGGUGGCUGAAGGCCUUUUGCUCAACAUACUGCAACAGAGAACAAGCAGAGUCAGCCCCAACACUGCUCAGCAGCUGCAUAAAUGGUAAAUCCAUGCACUUCACCCCCCCCCCGAAAGGUUCAACUGGGUACGUUGUGCCAGCUGGUAACACAGGGAAAAGAGCUUUGUUUUGGCUGAAGGUGCUGAUCUCUAAGUGUCAUUUCAGGGCUAGAAUUCUGUAGAGCACUGUGCUCCACCAACAAGGGCAGAGAGCUUUCAAAAGUCUGGGUGGUAGGAGGGGGAGAAUGACUAGAAAAAAAAAUCAAAAGACAACAGUGUCUGUCCUUAAAUCAGUCCAGGGUUAGGGAUGUCUUCCUGAUGGUCUGAAAACACCCCUGUCCCAGGAAUGUGGAAUUGUCACAGAGGUGACGGUGGCAGUAACUGGAACAUCCCUGUGUCAGGCAUUGAGCAGCUGAAGCUGGAGGGCAGUGAGGGCCUUGCAGGGAGCAGUUCCCCGUGUCACCUCCUGCAGCGUGGCCGCGCAGAGCUCGAUGGCGAUGUACUGGAACUGCCGGUCCCGCUCCGUGCAGAAGUACCGGAUCACGUUCGGGUGCUCGUCCGACUCCCGCAGCAGCUGCACCUCCCGGUCUGCGAAGCUGAAGCACUCGGGGAGGAUCCUCUUCACUGCCACAUCCCGGUUGUCAAAGGUGCCCCUGCAGGCAGCGAGGGAAACCACACCAACCUUCACACUGUGCACAAGGCGUGGCCAGAGGAAUCAGGGACGUCUGGGCACUAAACAUUUCUUAGGGAAGUACAUAAAAGUUUUUGCUGCUGAAGAAAAUGCAUGAAAAUACUCCAGACACAUGCAGAAAGUUUCACUUCUGUUCACAUUAGGUAUGUGAGGGCAUUUAUAAAAAAUAAAUUAAAAGGGCCUAAUGCAAACACAA